RNAcentral lists this ribosomal RNA (486 nucleotides) under uncultured bacterium. RNAcentral's name for it is "partial 16S ribosomal RNA". It matches the Rfam family "Bacterial small subunit ribosomal RNA", at positions 30 to 507 of the family's 1533-position model. The record is from RNAcentral.
AUUGAACGCUGGCGGCAUGCCUUACACAUGCAAGUCGAACGGCAGCACGGGUGCUUGCACCUGGUGGCGAGUGGCGAACGGGUGAGUAAUACAUCGGAACAUGUCCUGUAGUGGGGGAUAGCCCGGCGAAAGCCGGAUUAAUACCGCAUACGAUCUACGGAUGAAAGCGGGGGACCUUCGGGCCUCGCGCUAUAGGGUUGGCCGAUGGCUGAUUAGCUAGUUGGUGGGGUAAAGGCCUACCAAGGCGACGAUCAGUAGCUGGUCUGAGAGGACGACCAGCCACACUGGGACUGAGACACGGCCCAGACACCUACGGGAGGCAGCAGUGGGGAAUUUUGGACAAUGGGCGAAAGCCUGAUCCAGCAAUGCCGCGUGUGUGAAGAAGGCCUUCGGGUUGUAAAGCACUUUUGUCCGGAAAGAAAUCCUUGGCCCUAAUACGGUCGGGGGAUGACGGUACCGGAAGAAUAAGCACCGGCUAACUACGUG